AUUGAACGCUGGCGGCAUGCUUUACACAUGCAAGUCGAACGGUAACAGGGAGCUUGCUCCGCUUACGAGUGGCGAACGGGUGAGUAAUAUAUCGGAACGUACCCAAGUGCGGGGGAUAACGUAGUGAAAGUUACGCUAAUACCGCAUACGAUCUAAGGAUGAAAGCAGGGGACCUUCGGGCCUUGUGCUCCUGGAGCGGCCGAUAUCUGAUUAGCUAGUUGGUGAGGUAAAGGCUCACCAAGGCGACGAUCCGUAGCUGGUCUGAGAGGACGAUCAGCCACACUGGAACUGAGACACGGUCCAGACUCCUACGGGAGGCAGCAGUGGGGAAUUUUGGACAAUGGGCGCAAGCCUGAUCCAGCAAUGCCGCGUGAGUGAAGAAGGCCUUCGGGUUGUAAAGCUCUUUUGUCAGGGAAGAAACGGCUGUGGCUAAUAUCCACGGCUAAUGACGGUACCUGAAGAAUAAGCACCGGCUAACUACGUG
This 484-nucleotide ribosomal RNA is filed under the name uncultured bacterium. RNAcentral describes it as "partial 16S ribosomal RNA". It matches the Rfam family "Bacterial small subunit ribosomal RNA", at positions 30 to 507 of the family's 1533-position model. The record is from RNAcentral.